ACAGAUGGGAGCUUGCUCCCUGAUGUUAGCGGCGGACGGGUGAGUAACACGUGGGUAACCUGCCUGUAAGACUGGGAUAACUCCGGGAAACCGGGGCUAAUACCGGAUGCUUGUUUGAACCGCAUGGUUCAAACAUAAAAGGUGGCUUCGGCUACCACUUACAGAUGGACCCGCGGCGCAUUAGCUAGUUGGUGAGGUAAUGGCUCACCAAGGCAACGAUGCGUAGCCGACCUGAGAGGGUGAUCGGCCACACUGGGACUGAGACACGGCCCAGACUCCUACGGGAGGCAGCAGUAGGGAAUCUUCCGCAAUGGACGAAAGUCUGACGGAGCAACGCCGCGUGAGUGAUGAAGGUUUUCGGAUCGUAAAGCUCUGUUGUUAGGGAAGAACAAGUACCGUUCGAAUAGGGCGGUACCUUGACGGUACCUAACCAGAAAGCCACGGCUAACUACGUGCCAGCAGCCGCGGUAAUACGUAGGUGGCAAGCGUUGUCCGGAAUUAUUGGGCGUAAAGGGCUCGCAGGCGGUUCCUUAAGUCUGAUGUGAAAGCCCCCGGCUCAACCGGGGAGGGUCAUUGGAAACUGGGGAACUUGAGUGCAGAAGAGGAGAGUGGAAUUCCACGUGUAGCGGUGAAAUGCGUAGAGAUGUGGAGGAACACCAGUGGCGAAGGCGACUCUCUGGUCUGUAACUGACGCUGAGGAGCGAAAGCGUGGGGAGCGAACAGGAUUAGAUACCCUGGUAGUCCACGCCGUAAACGAUGAGUCUAAGUGUUAGGGGGUUUCCGCCCCUUAGUGCUGCAGCUAACGCAUUAAGCACUCCGCCUGGGGAGUACGGUCGCAAGACUGAAACUCAAAGGAAUUGACGGGGGCCCGCACAAGCGGUGGAGCAUGUGGUUUAAUUCGAAGCAACGCGAAGAACCUUACCAGGUCUUGACAUCCUCUGACAAUCCUAGAGAUAGGACGUCCCCUUCGGGGGCAGAGUGACAGGUGGUGCAUGGUUGUCGUCAGCUCGUGUCGUGAGAUGUUGGGUUAAGUCCCGCAACGAGCGCAACCCUUGAUCUUAGUUGCCAGCAUUCAGUUGGGCACUCUAAGGUGACUGCCGGUGACAAACCGGAGGAAGGUGGGGAUGACGUCAAAUCAUCAUGCCCCUUAUGACCUGGGCUACACACGUGCUACAAUGGACAGAACAAA
This 1189-nucleotide ribosomal RNA is filed under the name Bacillus sp. NCIM2018. Its description in RNAcentral is "bacterial SSU rRNA". It matches the Rfam family "Bacterial small subunit ribosomal RNA", at positions 69 to 1243 of the family's 1533-position model. Lineage: Bacteria; Bacillati; Bacillota; Bacilli; Caryophanales; Bacillaceae. The record is from RNAcentral.